RNAcentral lists this long non-coding RNA (457 nucleotides) under Sarcophilus harrisii (Tasmanian devil). RNAcentral describes it as "lncRNA (ENSSHAG00000029546.1)". The record is from RNAcentral. Lineage: Eukaryota; Metazoa; Chordata; Mammalia; Dasyuromorphia; Dasyuridae.
GCGCUGGGGCCCCUGGUUUCUCCGGCCAGCACGGUCAGAUGCCAUAACGCUUGUCUGUGGGAUCUUGGGCAAGUCCCUCUGAACUUGCUUCCCUUUUCUGCCAAAUCAAAGCCUUGUGGGCGGUCACAUCCCCCAGCAUCCCGGGCCCCCCAACUGGAGCGUCCAAAGGCUGGAAAUUCCUGGCCCCGGAGACACCAAGGCCGCACACGCACCUGCACAGAUCAUGCGGAGUGAUGGGGCCCAGGAGGGCUGAGCCCCUGGCCCGGACCCCGGCUGCCCCCUUCAGCCGGACCCCUCCUCCCGGGGAGGAGCUGCCGGACACAGAUAAAGGCCGGCGAGCAAAGGUCAACGCGGGGACCGCCGGCUGGGCUCCUGCUCUACGGGACAGCGGCCGCAGAAAGGAGACCACACAACCUCAGGUCUGAGCCGGGCAGUGCCUCGUACCCAGCAGGUGCCU